This 846-nucleotide long non-coding RNA is filed under the name Homo sapiens (human). Its description in RNAcentral is "non-protein coding lnc-NEIL1-5:1". The record is from RNAcentral. Lineage: Eukaryota; Metazoa; Chordata; Mammalia; Primates; Hominidae.
AAGGAACUAAGGCAAGGCAGGAAUGUGUAUGAAAAUAGGAAUGUGUAUGUAAAUAGGAGCUCAGAGAAGAGAGAUUCCUUUUCGCUGAAGGAGAAUUGGGAAAGGUUUCAUGAAGGAGGUGGCAUUCAAGUUGGGUCUUAAAGAUUUCAUCCAGCAAAUUGGAUGCUGGCCACAGAAAAUUUUUUAUUAAAAAUACAUUUUUUCACAGAAGAAAAUUCAUUAAAAGUCAAGAAAGAGCCCCCAGAUGAAAUGGCUGACCUUUACUCAGGUGCACAUCUGGCCAGUCUUGAGGCUUUAAGACAAACUACGCAGCAGCAUUAGAGAAGUAGUAGAUUAUAAUGUGCGGGGAGGGGAGACGGACGUGAGCCUGGAGUCUGAGAGGGGCACUGUACCGUUUUUUCCAACACCCCCAGCUAGGAUUCUAGUGGAGUUAGCUAUGUCCACCAUGGCCUUAGCCUGAAAAAUAUGGGCAUUUAAGACUUCAGCAGGCCACAUUUAGCUCAAACAGGAGGAUUUUAUGACAGCCAAGGUAAAGAAGGGAGAUUUAAACAUUGUAACAGGUUUCAAGGUGCUAGAUUUUUUUUCCCCCAAGAAAACAUCUCCAAGUAAAAGUGAUAUAUUUCUAUUUGUGGAGAAGAUCCUAGUCUUCUCUGUAGUCAAUUAUGAACAGUGCAGUCUAGAACACUUGAUAUUCACAAGUGUUGUGUAAAGGUAACUAUAGGGCGGAUACCUCCUAAGAGAAAAAGAUGGUUCCCAGGCUGAUGGGCAUUUCCAUUCCUGCCCUUGGUAGGCUCACAGUGGUUUGUGGGAGUAACCAAGGCCAGAGAGAAAUCUAAGGACUAGGUU